RNAcentral lists this ribosomal RNA (406 nucleotides) under uncultured bacterium. RNAcentral's name for it is "partial 16S ribosomal RNA". It matches the Rfam family "Bacterial small subunit ribosomal RNA", at positions 30 to 526 of the family's 1533-position model. The record is from RNAcentral.
AUUGAACGCUGGCGGCAGGCCUAACACAUGCAAGUCGAACGAGUGGCGGACGGGUGAGUAAUGUCUGGGAAACUGCCUGAUGGAGGGGGAUAACUACUGGAAACGGUAGCUAAUACCGCAUACCAUCAGCUGAGCCCAGAUGGGAUUAGCUAGUUGGUGGGGUAACGGCUCACCAAGGCGACGAUCCCUAGCUGGUCUGAGAGGAUGACCAUGCACACUGGAACGUGGACGCGGUCCAUACUGCUACGGGAGGCAGCAGUGGGGAGUAUUGCAGAAUGGGCGCAAGCCGGAUGCAGCCGUGCCGCGUGUAUGAAGAAGGCGUUCGGGUUGUAAAGUACUUUCAGCGGGGAGGCGUUACCCGCAGAAGAAGCACCGGCUAACUCCGUGCCAGCAGCCGCGGUAAUUC